UCCCGACAGUCCAAGUCGCAACCAACAUUAUUGGGUCUAAAACAUCCGUAGCUUGCUUAGCAAGUUCUUUGUGAAAUUCUAUGUCUCAAGCAUAGAGCGGGCAAAGAAUACUACUAAGCUAGAGACCGGUAGGUGUAAAGAGUAUAUCAAAGGUAGUGGUAAAAUAUGUUAAUCUUUGGUAGACUAACAAUUAGCGAAGGCACUUUACAAGAACGGAUCUGACAGUAAGGGAUGAAGGCUAGGGGCGCAAAAG
Molecule: ribosomal RNA, 253 nt
Filed under: uncultured archaeon
Lineage: Archaea
Description: partial 16S ribosomal RNA
Rfam family: Archaeal small subunit ribosomal RNA
Source: RNAcentral